Synchiropus splendidus (mandarinfish) is the source of this 116-nucleotide small nuclear RNA. RefSeq annotates it as U5 spliceosomal RNA. The transcript has a single exon. NCBI's taxonomy places the organism in Eukaryota, Metazoa, Chordata, Actinopteri, Syngnathiformes, Callionymidae. The record is from RefSeq and is a predicted model, not a curated record.
UCACUCGUGGUUCUCUUCAGAUCGUAUAAAUCUUUCGCCUUUUACUAAAGAUUUCCGUGGAGAGGAAGCAAUCUGAGUCUUUACCAAUUUUUUUGAAGCCCUGCUUUUGUGGGGCU